CCUACGGGGGGCUGCAGUGGGGAAUAUUGCACAAUGGGGGAAACCCUGAUGCAGCAACGCCGCGUGAAGGAAGAAGGUUUUCGGAUCGUAAACUUCUAUCAGCAGGGAAGAAGAAAGACGGUACCUGACUAAGAAGCCCCGGCUAACUACGUGCCAGCAGCCGCGGUAAUACGUAGGGGGCAAGCGUUAUCCGGAAUCACUGGGUGUAAAGGGUGCGUAGGCGGUGAGGUAAGUCAGAUGUGAAAGCCCGGGGCUCAACUCCGGGAUUGCAUUUGAAACUGCUUUACUAGAGUGCAGGAGAGGAAAGUGGAAUUCCCAGUGUAGCGGUGAAAUGCGUAGAUAUUGGGAGGAACACCAGUUGCGAAGGCGGCUCUCUGGACUGUAACUGACGCUGAGGCACGAAAGCGUGGGGAGCGAACAGGAUUAGAUACCCGGGUAGUC
RNAcentral lists this ribosomal RNA (441 nucleotides) under uncultured bacterium. RNAcentral describes it as "bacterial SSU rRNA". It matches the Rfam family "Bacterial small subunit ribosomal RNA", at positions 338 to 795 of the family's 1533-position model. The record is from RNAcentral.